AAGUAAAUACGAAGGGACAGCGCUAAUACCAAAACAUUCUUUAUCUCAUUGGCCGAAAUACAGGAGAGAGGCAGUCCUUCCACAACCCAUGUGAUCAGUCUAACACUCGAUUUGAAUCUAAGUGAUAUUCUUCACACAUGAGUAGCGGUCACACUAAAUUUCGAGUACUUCCCCACACUGCGGCAAACAGGAGAAAGACAGUCCUUCCACAACCCAUGCGAUCAGUCUAACACUCGAAAAAUCCGAGCGAUAUUCUUCACACAUGAGUAGCGGUCGUACUGACUACUCUCGAGUAUUUCCACACUGCGACAGCUAGAUCGAGACCUAGAUGUUGCCUACUUGAUUAAAAAUGUUCCAGUAUUGUAGCUGACCACAAACUGUUUUCAUCUUCGAUAGCCUAUUCAAAUAUACCCAGAGACUUUGCCACAAACACAACCAGACCAGCAUGUACUGUAUCUGCGCUGAGUUUGGAGCUAGAUCUCGAAACGCACGGAAAACAGGAAAUUCUCCUCGCCACAAGGGCGUUGAGUGAGUCCUGCCUCGCCGUACAAGUGCCUUUUAUCAUAUUAUUUCGCAUAGCGAAGCAAUAAGUCAAUCAUCCUCGCUGAUACAUAAGAAAUGU
Molecule: ribosomal RNA, 622 nt
Filed under: Chaetoceros debilis
Lineage: Eukaryota; Bacillariophyta; Thalassiosirophyceae; Chaetocerotales; Chaetocerotaceae
Description: partial Eukaryotic large subunit ribosomal RNA
Source: RNAcentral